UACGGAAGGCCUCCACGAAGUAAAGC
Molecule: non-coding RNA, 26 nt
Filed under: Homo sapiens (human)
Lineage: Eukaryota; Metazoa; Chordata; Mammalia; Primates; Hominidae
Source: RNAcentral